UGGGGCUUUGGCGGGCUUGGGCUUAGCUUCGACUCGCUGUGCAGCUGCCGAGACACGCUUUACGCGAAGACCUGUUGCACGGUUGUGGAAGGUCGGUAGCCAACUGGGGGGAGGGUGGUUUCCUUUCGGGCCGGAGAUGGUCCCUCUUGACCUGGGUGCACGGGCACCCUUGCUUGGUCGGAUUGUCCCUUCUUUGUAAUAUCGCAACCAUAAGGUGGCUGGGAGGCCGCGGCGCGUGCGGCUCGACUGGCUCGCGGGCGGGCGUGGGUCAUGCCGCUUCCUGCGGAUGCCGUGCGACAGGCGGCGGCGGGGGCCUUGACCCAGGUGGUGCGGGGACUGGGCUGGGUCCUGGACGGGGGCCCGCCUCUGCUGCUGUUGCACUACUCCGUGAAGGCAGGAACGGCCAUGCAACUGGGCCCCCAGGUUGCGGCGCUGCGGUCUAAACAUUUGUUGUAUGUGCGUGAUGCUGGUGUUUCUGCGGACGGCGCGCUUGCGGCUGCCGGCGCCUUUGCCGGCACUCUGGCCCGUUUGUGGGCGUUAAAAUGGGAAACUUAUCACAAGGAAGCGUUGUGGCGGGUGGCGGCCAAUGCGUGCUGGUCGUUCCCCAAAAAUGCCGCCCAGCGUGCAGCUGGGGUGGCAAUGCCCCUGUGCCGGGCGUGUGGGCGGGAUAUGUGUGAUGGGGACCGCCGGCACUACUUUUGGGACUGUGUUGUUGCUCGGGCGCUGCGGGAGAACAUGGCUGUGGCAAUGCUGGGGUCCCCUCCUGACACGGCUGAUGACUGUUUCUCCCGUGCUGACCUUUGGCUGGUGCAGCCGCCUGCUGGGCUGGCGCCGCCGGUGUGGGAUGUAGUGUGUUUGGCUGCGCUGUCUGCCCUUGACUCGGGCCGGCAGCAGGUGAUUAUGACUGGCUUGCGUGUGCGUCGGGCUCUGACGUCGGCGGAAGUCAUGCGCAUCAGUGUGUCCGUUAUUGCUGAUUUCUGGGGCCGGCUGCAGUCAUAUGUCAGUCUCGGCCUCCGCCCGAAAGCCUGGGCCACGGUGCCUGCGCACCAUCCGUUCCUCUCGCGGGGUGCGGGUGACUGUGUGCUGCUAGUGUUGCCUGAUGAUGUGGGCUCCCCGCCCCCCUCGCCUUAAUUUGCUCGUGGGUGGUGGGAGCGGUGUGCCUCUGGUGUGUGCGCUGUGGGUGUGGGGCGUCGACGUGGGCGUCGCCGGACUACGUGCCCGGUGUACCUGCGUUGACGCCUCGCCGGUUUGAUUGCGCCUCGUGCGCUAGUGCGGUUUGCUGUACGUUGGUGGGGCUUUGGCGGGCUUGGGCUUAGCUUCGACUCGCUGUGCAGCUGCCGAGACACGCAUUACGCGAAGACCUGUUGCACGGUUGUGGAAGGUCGGUAGCCAACUGGGGGGAGGGUGGUUUCCUUUCGGGCCGGAGAUGGUCCCUCUUGACCUGGGUGCACGGGCACCCUUGCUUGGUCGGAUUGUCCCUUCUUUGUAAUAUCGCAACCAUAAUGAACUCCUAGCCUCUAGGGCUCAUCCCCUAGCCCGCGAGCCUUGGCUCGCGUGGGGGCGCACAACAUCUUAGUUGUCGACCUUGGCUUUCGUUUCCAAAUUUUUGUCGCCUGUUCCGGGCGCUUUGAUCAGAUUGGUUCAGACAGGGUUGGGGUUCAGACAGGCGCUCAGCGCCGAGCUUUGGGUUCGAAGUUCCAUGGCGGCUCGCGGGCGGCUGGUCGCAUGAGUUCUUCGGUGUUGUGUUGUCAGUGGUUUCUGUCUUUGCAGGUAGUGGGUAGCCCUCGUGGUCGCCCUUGGCCCGGCGCAACGGCUGGCGCAUCGAUGCCUCGCCUGUGUGCGCCUCGGCGUCUUGCCUCGUGGCGCCCAGUCAGCCGUCGUCUCUGUCUGCGGUCUUCCUGGCUCUGCAGAUUUUAGCCCUGGGGGUUUUAGCUCGCAGCAUACGGUUCACGGACCGGUAGGCGCGUGGUGACCGCAGUCGGGUAGUCCCGGGUUUGGGGUGUGUGUGCACGGGCGGCUGUUGCCCGGGCGCCCGGGCGACUGUUGGCUCUUCUCGUCUCCGAGUGCCGCUGGGGCUUGUGUGGAGGGUCGGCCUGGGUCGUUGGUUGGACGGAUGGUGGGUGGUGCGCCCUUUGAGAGGGGCUGUGGUGUGCUGUGGCUUGGUGGUGUUUCGGCUUGGCUUCCGGUUCCAGUUGUGCCUCGGCACAGACUAUCAGACAUGGGCCUUCGGGCCAAGACAUUGCGCGUCUCUGACGCCAGCCAUCGUCUUCGGACGUGAUAUUUGUGUGGUGCUUGCGUUUGAUGGGGCUGUCGGCAGACCACUGGCCUGUCGUGCCUUGUUUUGCGUUGGUGCUGCCGCCAAAAGACCUAAAAGUGAUGAGGGGUGUUACGUGGCGGUGGGGCUUUGGCGGGCUUCGGCUUGGCUUCGACUCAUGCGCGUACCGCUAUGAAGGUCGGCAGUCAACCAGGGGGUGGGUGUUUCUCUCUGGGCCGGAGACGGUCCCUCGCGGCGUGGGUACGGUGUGCCCCCGCUUGUCGGCCUGUCCCUUCAAUUGUAAUUCGCAUCCAUAAUGAAUACAUAUAUCCCAAGCCUGCUAGCCUCUAGGGCUCAUCCCCUAGCCCGCGAGCCUUGGCUCGCGUGGGGGCGCACAACAUCUUAGUUGUCGACCUUGGCUUUCGUUUCCAAAUUUUUGUCGCCUGUUCCGGGCGCUUUGAUCAGAUUGGUUCAGACAGGGUUGGGGUUCAGACAGGCGCUCAGCGCCGAGCUUUGGGUUCGAAGUUCCAUGGCGGCUCGCGGGCGGCUGGUCGCAUGAGUUUU
RNAcentral lists this long non-coding RNA (2818 nucleotides) under Chlamydomonas reinhardtii. RNAcentral's name for it is "long non-coding RNA (CREI_LNC000190)". The record is from RNAcentral. Lineage: Eukaryota; Viridiplantae; Chlorophyta; Chlorophyceae; Chlamydomonadales; Chlamydomonadaceae.